CUAUUUACUAAAAGAAAUAACUGUAGCAAACUGAAAACUACAUUUCAAAACUCAAGUAAAAUAGAUUUAAUUUUGAAAUGUUCCCUAAUCUGUUUCUGCCUAAAAUUGGUAAUUCACUACAAUUCAAUGCUCAGAAAAUGAACCCCUGUAAUUUUUUUUUUGCGCAACAAAAAGUUCUAAAUUACUGGAAUGCUGACAUAUUUGGUGUUUGAAGACUCAAACAAAAGCAAAAAAAAACAAACACUU
This is a non-coding RNA of Pelobates cultripes (western spadefoot toad), 246 nucleotides long. The record is from the annotation of a GenBank genome assembly. Lineage: Eukaryota; Metazoa; Chordata; Amphibia; Anura; Pelobatidae.